GUAAACCACACUGGGCUGGUGGAAGACAGCUGGGCGUGGGAAGAAGAGAAGAAAACACACCCUAGGAGCUUUUGCAGCUCCAAGUUGGGGUGAAGGGUUCUAGUCAGAUUUGCCUUGGUGUGACUCUGGAAAAUUGGACCAGCGCUGCCCGCUUCAACACACGAGAUCACCGAGUGAAAAGAGGACGGUUUUCCUGAAUGGGGAGGAACGGAGAUUUCAUUUUGAGGAUCCAUCAGUCUCUGAGCAGGGGGAUGGCAAGAUGCUGUCUUCCCUGGGUUUGAUUUCCUGACGACCAGAGGAGGGAAGAGCGGACUCUUUGGCUGGGGAGGAGGGCAUGGAAGAGAGGGACUGUUGAUCUAACUGGGAAGGGGAUCUCUCUCUCUCUCUCUCCUGCUUUGCCACAAUGUCCGUGAUGAUUUCGGCUCACGAGAAGGUGACCACCUCCUUCUCCACAGCAGCCACAGCCGUCAGCAAGCUGCUCCUAGGUGCUCCAGGCUGGGACCACGGCUCCACUGUGUUACAGGCACAGCAAGACACAGCCCUAGCCCCAAAGAGUUUACAAUCUUGACUGAAGACAAGAUGCCACAGUUCCUACUACAUCAACAUCUAGACACUGUGGGCAAGAAGCACAGUUGUGCUCAUCGGUAAGUCACACAGCUUUGUAUAAUAGAAUCUGAUGGAAUAUAGCUUUAGAAUAUUGCAGUUAUCUAUUCAUUUUUUUUGUUUUUUUUUAAUUGCAACCAAGAUUGCCACUAAAGACAUGACUGUGGGAUCCGGAUCUUGGUAUG
Non-coding RNA from Caretta caretta (loggerhead turtle), 788 nucleotides. The record is from RefSeq and is a predicted model, not a curated record. NCBI's taxonomy places the organism in Eukaryota, Metazoa, Chordata, Testudines, Cheloniidae.